Molecule: ribosomal RNA, 1206 nt
Filed under: uncultured Thelephoraceae
Lineage: Eukaryota; Fungi; Basidiomycota; Agaricomycetes; Thelephorales; Thelephoraceae
Description: eukaryotic LSU rRNA
Rfam family: Eukaryotic large subunit ribosomal RNA (bases 594-1206)
Source: RNAcentral
AGGAUCAUUACCGAAUUGUUAACAAGAGUUGUUGCUGGUCCCCAUACAGGGGCAUGUGCACGCUCUGUUUACACAUCCACUCACACCUGUGCACCCUCUGUAGUUCUAUGGCCUGGGUGGGCUCUGUCCCUCCUGCUGUGGUUCUACGUCUUUACACACACACUACAACAAAGUCUCAUGGAAUGUAUGUCGCGUUUAACGCAAUGAAAUACAACUUUCAGCAACGGAUCUCUUGGCUCUCGCAUCGAUGAAGAACGCAGCGAAAUGCGAUAAGUAAUGUGAAUUGCAGAAUUCAGUGAAUCAUCGAAUCUUUGAACGCACCUUGCGCCCUUUGGCUAUUCCGAAGGGCAUGCCUGUUUGAGUAUCAUGAACACCUCAACUCUCGUGGCUUGCCAUGAUGAGCUUGGACUUUGGGGGUCUUGUUGGUCUAUGAGCCAGCUCCUCUCAAAUGAAUUAGCUUGCCAGUGUUUGGUGGCGUCACAGGUGUGAUAACUAUCUACGCUUGUGUUUUCCCACCAGGUAACCUUCAGCAAUGGAGGUUCACUGGAGCUUAUAAACGUGUCUCUCCCAUGCGAAGACACAUUUUGACCAUUUGAUCUCAAAUCAGGUAGGACUACCCGCUGAACUUAAGCAUAUCAAUAAGCGGAGGAAAAGAAACUAACAAGGAUUCCCCUAGUAACUGCGAGUGAAGCGGGAAGAGCUCAAAUUUAAAAUCUGGCUGCCUCUGGCUGUCCGAGUUGUAGUCUGGAGAAGCGUUUUCCGUGUUGGAUCGUGUAUAAGUCUCUUGGAACAGGGCGUCAUAGAGGGUGAGAAUCCCGUCUUUGACACGGACUACCAAUGCUUUGUGAUGCGCUCUCAAAGAGUCGAGUUGUUUGGGAAUGCAGCUCAAAAUGGGUGGUAAAUUCCAUCUAAAGCUAAAUAUAGGCGAGAGACCGAUAGCGAACAAGUACCGUGAGGGAAAGAUGAAAAGCACUUUGGAAAGAGAGUUAAACAGUACGUGAAAUUGCUGAAAGGGAAACGCUUGAAGUCAGUCACGUCUGCCAGGACUCAGCCUUGCUUCUGCUUGGUGCACUUUCUGGUUUGACGGGCCAACAUCAAUUUUGACCGUUGGAGAAAGGCUUUGGGAAUGUGGCACCUUCGGGUGUGUUAUAGCCCAUUGUUGUAUACAACGGUUGGGAUUGAGGACCGCAGCACGCCUUCAUGGCC